CGGUUAUACCAAUAGGUCGAGUUAUAUUUCUAAGGUAAAAAUGUAGUUAAAUAUUAUGUAUUAGUUUUAUGAUUUUUUAUAAGAAAGUGAAAUUUGUAUAUAAAAAAAUAAACCAAAAAUAACUAAGUAAAUUGAAUCUACGAUAGCUUUGAGGGAAACUGGGAUUUGAUACCCCAUUAUUCUUAGUUGUAAAUGAAUAUAAAGUUUACCAGAGUACUAUGAAUAACUUGUAAAUUUAAAACUCAAAGGGCUUGGCGGUGUUUUAGACCUCUUAGGGGAACCUGUCUCGUAAUCGAUAAUCCGCGCUAUACCUAACCUUUUUUUGCUAUCAGUUUAUACACCGUUGUCAUCAGGUAACUUUUUAAAAAAAUUAAGUUAGCAAUGAAAUUAACUAUAAAUUAAAAUGUCAAAUCAAGGUGCAGCUUAUAAAGAGGGGAUGAUGGGUUACAAUUAAAAUUUAUAAGAUGGAUUAAAUAAUGAAAUUUAUUUAUGAAAGAGGACUUAAAAGUAAAAUGAUAUAUAUAGAUGGUUUGAAUUAGGCUCUGAAAUGUGUACAAAUUGCCC
RNAcentral lists this ribosomal RNA (564 nucleotides) under Admetula emarginata. RNAcentral's name for it is "partial 12S ribosomal RNA". The record is from RNAcentral. Lineage: Eukaryota; Metazoa; Mollusca; Gastropoda; Neogastropoda; Cancellariidae.